RNAcentral lists this ribosomal RNA (414 nucleotides) under Nasutitermes arborum. RNAcentral's name for it is "partial 12S ribosomal RNA". Lineage: Eukaryota; Metazoa; Arthropoda; Insecta; Blattodea; Termitidae. The record is from RNAcentral.
CCCUAUUAUUUUAGAAUGUUAAUUUUUGUGCCUGAGUAGUAUUAGUUAUGUUCUUGAAACUUAAAGAAUUUGGCGGUAUCUCAUUCCGUCCAGAGGAAUCUGUCCCGUUAUCGAUAGUCCACGUUGGACCUUACUUAUUUGAUUUGGUUUGUAUACCGCCGUUUAUUGAUUAUCUUUUUAGAGUUUUAUUAAUUUUCUGGUUUCUUUAUUUUGAUAUAUUUCAGGUCAAGGUGCAGCUUGUUUUUAAGUGGAAUGAUGGAUUACAUUGUUAUUUGUUUUUGGAUUGUUGUUUUUAAUAUUGGCAUGAAAUUGGAUUUGGUUGUAAUAAUUUGUAGAUUGUUAUUAUGAUAAGUGGUUCUGAGAUAUGUACACAUCGCCCGUCGCUCUCGUUUGUUUAUUAUAAUGAGAUAAGUC